GACGAACGCUGGCGGCGUGCUUAACACAUGCAAGUCGAGCGGUAAGGCCCUCUCGGGGGUACACGAGCGGCGAACGGGUGAGUAACACGUGGGUGACCUGCCUUUAGCUCUGGGAUAAGCCUGGGAAACUGGGUCUAAUACCGGAUAUGACUCCGCGGUGCAUGCUGUGGGGUGGAAAGCCUUGUGCGGCUGGAGAUGGGCCCGCGGCCUAUCAGCUUGUUGGUGGGGUGANGGCCUACCAAGGCGACGACGGGUAGCCGGCCUGAGAGGGCGACCGGCCACACUGGGACUGAGACACGGCCCAGACUCCUACGGGAGGCAGCAGUGGGGAAUCUUGCGCAAUGGGCGAAAGCCUGACGCAGCGACGCCGCGUGAGGGAUGACGGCC
This 387-nucleotide ribosomal RNA is filed under the name uncultured bacterium. RNAcentral's name for it is "bacterial SSU rRNA". It matches the Rfam family "Bacterial small subunit ribosomal RNA", at positions 28 to 416 of the family's 1533-position model. The record is from RNAcentral.